AUGGCUGCCCACCAUGGUGACCGUAGAAACUAACAUAGAAAAAGAGGUAGAUAUCUCAAGUGACUUUGUUCAUUUACGUUGGAAUAGACAAGUAACUACCUUUUCUAUUUUAGUUUCUAUGGUCACUAUGGUGGCAGCCAU
RNAcentral lists this microRNA precursor (141 nucleotides) under Oryza sativa (Asian cultivated rice). RNAcentral's name for it is "miR2871b stem-loop (osa-MIR2871b)". The stretch from base 13 to 130 matches the Rfam family "MIR2871 microRNA precursor family". The record is from miRBase by way of RNAcentral. Lineage: Eukaryota; Viridiplantae; Streptophyta; Magnoliopsida; Poales; Poaceae.